CUAACAUACAGUGUGCUCUUGGUUUUGUGGGUAGAUUCCCAUAGUUCAUUGCUUUCAUACAAUUCCCAGUGCUAUCUCAACAAGUGCCUUCCCAUUACCCAGUUUUAAAGCAUUUUCCACAUUUUUAGGUAUUUAUUACAAUAGCACCCCACUGUCAGUAUCAAGAUCGGUCUUAGUCCACUUGGGCUGUCAUAACAAAAUACCAUAGACAGGGUGGCUGGGUCAAACAAUACAAAUUUUUUUCCUCAUAAUUCUGGAGACUGAAAGUUCAAGAUCAAGGUGCUAAUAUGGUCUGUUUCAGGUGAAGAUUCUCUUACUGGGUUAUAAAUGGCUAACUUCUGGUUGUGUUCUCACAUGGCAGAGAGAGCAGGCAAGCUAUCUGGUGUCUCUUCUUAUAAGGGCACUAAUCCCAUCAUGGGGGACCCACCUUUGUGACCUCAUAUAAACCUAAUUAUCUCCCAAAGGCCCUAUUUCCAAAUAGCAUCACAUUGGGGGUUAAACCUUCAACAUAUGAAUUUGGGGAGUUUGCAGUUCAGUCCACAGCCCUGGAUACUGGUUUAUAAACAGACAGAAACUAAUGGAAACACACCGCUUAUGUGUGACAUAUGCCAAUUACUGCAAGAAUCACUUCCAGUAAGGUGCAGAGCAAUGACCCGACAGGUGGACAGUCAGCAGCAAAUAUCCAGAGGAACUUUGAACAUGACCUCUAGGAGGAGUGGACUGGAAUGCACUUUGCUCAACCUGAAGACAUUCAAAUCAAAGGUUACUGCCACUGCCAGCAAUGGGCAUCAUUGUAUAUUCAAGGACAAGUGAGAGAAAGGAAACCAUGAUUACGCAGCCCCAGGAAAGUCUGAAAGAAGGCAGAGGCUGUGACAAAUGUAUAAAAUACUAUAUAUAAUUGCCAACAAACAAGAAUGUCAAAUUAAUGGAAACUGCAAGCAGAUACAAAACAAUUCCCCACUGAUUUUUUUAUAUGUUCCAAUUUAUAAUACAUGUUCAUGUUCCACAAAUAUGACUAGUGGCUAUUAAAUUAUAGUUUAUUUGCUCACUUGGCCAACUUCAUUAAUAUCCCUGUACACCUUUCAAUGUCUAUAAAAUCCUGGUGUUUAAUUAAGUGUUCUAUAAGAUAGUCCCUAGUUGUUCAUUCAAUGGUGUUUUUGUUUAAAACUGUUUUUGUAUGGUAAAGAAAGAAAUUAUUAUGAAUACAGUAACUUUAGAAUUCUGUGUGUGUGAAAAUAGCAAUUAGAUUGUUACAUAUCUGUGUGUGUAUGCACUUAAUACAUAAUUCAUUUUACCAGCUAUAUACAGAAUAUUAUUACAUAAUCUGCAAACUUAACCAUUCUAUCAAAUUCCUUCACACUUAAAUUUUCUUCCCAAAUAAAUGAUCGAAAGCUAUGAGCA
This 1401-nucleotide long non-coding RNA is filed under the name Felis catus (domestic cat). RNAcentral's name for it is "lncRNA (ENSFCAG00000048702.1)". The record is from RNAcentral. Lineage: Eukaryota; Metazoa; Chordata; Mammalia; Carnivora; Felidae.